UGCGUAGGCGGCGUAAUAAGUCAGUGGUGAAAUCUCUCGGCUCAACCGGGAAACUGCCAUUGAUACUGUUAGUCUUGAGUUCGGUUGAGGUAGGCGGAAUGUGUAAUGUAGCGGUGAAAUGCUUAGAUAUUACACAGAACACCAAUUGCGUAGGCAGCUUACUAGACCGACACUGACGCUGAGGCACGAAAGCGUGGGUAGCGAACAGGAUUAGAUACCCUGGUAGUC
This 228-nucleotide ribosomal RNA is filed under the name uncultured bacterium. Its description in RNAcentral is "partial 16S ribosomal RNA". It matches the Rfam family "Bacterial small subunit ribosomal RNA", at positions 568 to 795 of the family's 1533-position model. The record is from RNAcentral.